Molecule: long non-coding RNA, 888 nt
Filed under: Homo sapiens (human)
Lineage: Eukaryota; Metazoa; Chordata; Mammalia; Primates; Hominidae
Description: long intergenic non-protein coding RNA 1491
Source: RNAcentral
UGUGACCACAGAAAAAGUAGCCAGCCCACCAUCCCUAGAUGAUUUUGCAGUCUUUGCACACCAGUGUGGCCAUAGGCUUGUUUUCUCCUGGACUGAGCCUGCAGAUCCUAUGAGCAAGCAUAUGUCCUGUGCUCCACUAGUCCUAGCUGGAUCGUGGACAUAUUACCAUCAUUACAAAUAUCAAUAGUUUGUGAUUACUUCAAACAAUCUGAAGUUGAAGGACCCCAGAUAUCCUUCAAAACAGGAAUCUGCAGGCAGAUGCUGAAACCAUGAAUACAGAGGGACAACUAUACGCUGACAUAGUUUUAUGAAUGCAAACAGCCAAGGAGAGCAGAUGUUGAGUGGUUGCCAGAGUGAAAUGAGGAAGCCCUGCUGCCAGCUUCCCACCAAAAAGCAGGCUCCGGCCCUGAACGCAGGAGAGUUGCUAAAGAAGUUGCUCACAGAGGCGGGAGAGAGCAGGCUACUGGUUUCCUUCAAAAUGGAAUAGGAAACAGAAAACGUGCAUCAUUUCUUCGCACUUGAAUCAGCAACAUGACACAGGACUUUGGCAUCAGACUACUAUCACACCAAAAAAAGAGGCUUCACUUGGAGUGCUGCCACUGGAUGGGGCCUGACUUGUUUAUCCGGAAAGAAGUGACUUCCCUGGGAAGAAGGUUGCAUUUGUGAAAGCUUGUGCAGCAUUUCAAGGCUGCAUUCAGGGGCUCUGACCUCCAGUGUCAGCCUUCCAAGGAGAGAAUGGUAGUGUAAUCAUGACUGGAGAGCAACUGUUCCAGAUAAGAAUAUUUUGGCAGAUUUUAAAAGCAACUAUUACUGGUGUUGAUUGACUUAAAAAUAUUUUAAAAAUAUAACAUGUUAUAAACCUCUUCAAUAUCAAGAGGCAGGAUAUAA